This 604-nucleotide ribosomal RNA is filed under the name uncultured bacterium. Its description in RNAcentral is "bacterial SSU rRNA". The stretch from base 1 to 524 matches the Rfam family "Bacterial small subunit ribosomal RNA", at positions 338 to 873 of the family's 1533-position model. The record is from RNAcentral.
CCUACGGGAGGCAGCAGUGGGGAAUAUUGCACAAUGGGCGAAAGCCUGAUGCAGCGACGCCGCGUGAGGGAUGACGGCCUUCGGGUUGUAAACCUCUUUCAGCAGGGAAGAAGCGAAAGUGACGGUACCUGCAGAAGAAGCGCCGGCUAACUACGUGCCAGCAGCCGCGGUAAUACGUAGGGCGCAAGCGUUGUCCGGAAUUAUUGGGCGUAAAGAGCUCGUAGGCGGCUUGUCACGUCGGGUGUGAAAGCCCGGGGCUUAACCCCGGGUCUGCAUUCGAUACGGGCUAGCUAGAGUGUGGUAGGGGAGAUCGGAAUUCCUGGUGUAGCGGUGAAAUGCGCAGAUAUCAGGAGGAACACCGGUGGCGAAGGCGGAUCUCUGGGCCAUUACUGACGCUGAGGAGCGAAAGCGUGGGGAGCGAACAGGAUUAGAUACCCUGGUAGUCCACGCCGUAAACGGUGGGAACUAGGUGUUGGCGACAUUCCACGUCGUCGGUGCCGCAGCUACGCAUAGUUCCGUCCGUCGGUAGGUACGGCCGCGACGACGUAAACUACAANAGAGUAGACGGCGNGAGACGUGCCGACGACGACGACGACGGGAGAGG